Molecule: non-coding RNA, 384 nt
Organism: Pelobates cultripes (western spadefoot toad)
Lineage: Eukaryota; Metazoa; Chordata; Amphibia; Anura; Pelobatidae
Source: the annotation of a GenBank genome assembly
CAACAACCCUCUGUUGCUUGUCAUUUAGACACUGCCUAACCCAUUCAACAAUAAUGGAAUCCAAACUUAAAUAUUGCAGUCUAUUGAUCAGCCUUCUAUGUGGAACAGUGUUGAGGUGUGCCUUUAACAUGACUGUAACUUUAAGUGUGUGUGUGUCUGUAGCAGUGUGUGUAUGUGACUUUAACUGUGUGUGUGGCUGUAACUGUUUGUGUGCCUUUAACAACGUUUGCGACUGUGUGCCAUUGACUGUGUGUUGUAGGUGCAACUGUGUGCAUGUGUCUGGCUGUGUCUGUGUAACUGUAUGUUACAUAGUGUAUAUGUCUGAUUGUGUGCACCUGACUUCUCUGUAACUGUGUCUAUCUGACUCUGUGCGUCUGGAUGUGU